This 2333-nucleotide unclassified non-coding RNA is filed under the name Hevea brasiliensis (rubber tree). Lineage: Eukaryota; Viridiplantae; Streptophyta; Magnoliopsida; Malpighiales; Euphorbiaceae. The record is from RNAcentral.
GCUAACACCAGUCCUUACACGACGGGGCGGCACGCUGGAGCUUCGUUUGAUUGCAGGAAUCUAUCUCAAGCCCAUAACUUGUGCCUCCGCUCGCAUGAUGAAGGGUUAGGGCUUUGAUUUUCACUCCCUUCCAUUCCAAAGCCGUGCAAAAUUAAUUCCAGUCCUGUUAGGGUUAGGGUUUAACGAUUUCAUAGACAUGUAUGCUGAUCGAGUGGAAGCUGCGGCGAAGAGGUCGGUAAAGGAGCGUCUUAAUGGCAAUUCUACUGACGACUUUACUCGCCAGCGUCAAAUUACUGGCAAAAGGCAGAGGCAAGAUGAUAAGUGGGAACACGAUCUCUAUGACGAGGAUGAACCACAUGUUUCAAGUAUGAAUUGACUGUGACAUACAGGCAACUAAAAAUUGCUGCUAUUGUUGGAUGCAACUCAAAUAACUAUACUUGGUUUUUGACUUUUUGUUAAUGGCUUGUGAAGAUCGCAAAGUCAGUUCUCAAGAUCUUCGACUGAAGCUUCAAAAGAAGACUCUUCCACAAUCAUCACAAAUUGGAAAGGGGUCAGGCAUGCGGGAUUUACGUGAAAAGCUAUCUGGGACUAUGAAUUCACAACCAGCAAAUGCUGAUCCACCCAAACGAAAAUUGGAGACUGCUAAACCAGCUAUAAGAAGUGUUGCAGUUGACGCACCUGAGCCAGAGAUUAAAAAGGUUUCUAGUGUGGCUCCUAGAAAAAAGUCUCAGCAAAAGGCUGAUACUUCAAUAGAAGGUUUUCUGCAAUCAAUAGGCCUUGAGAAAUACCUCAUUACUUUUCAAGCUGAGGAAGUAAGUAAAUUUUGUGCUGUAAUAUGUUAUUUGUUGACUCUAUUCAUCAUCUUCAGGGGCUUUUCUUUUAUUUUACUCAACGCAGGUUGAUAUGACAGCUCUUGUACACAUGAAUGAUGAGGAUCUCAAGGCUAUAGGAAUACCAAUGGUGAACUUAAACUGCCCUUUCAGACAUGGAAUGCUUGUCUUUUGUGGUGCAUUUUCAUCUAGGCUAAACUCAUUUCCAAGCCGCUCAACUUUUCAAGUUUGUGUUAUUCGACAUUAAGAAAAAUAUUUUUUAAAAAAUUCCCCAUGUAUUUUCAGAAAAAUUACAAAAAACAAAAGAAAGAAAAAACUAUUGGGAAGGAACAGAACCACAAAGAAGCAUGGGACCAUAUUUCCAAAAGCAAACCAAAUCAAGCAACAGAUGAAAAACAAAUCAAAACAAUUCAAAUUUCAGCCCUAAACAAGAACAUAACCAUAGACAUACCACAUCAAACCCUUGAACAAGUGAAACUCCUUUAACACAAACAAAAUAUCCCAUCUCAAACUCCAAUCUCAAUCUUUUUAUGCACUUUAACCCAUGAUUCAAUCACCUUUAAUGGAUAUCAUGCCAUCUAGCCUGCAAUUCCUAUGAGAUCCCAAAUUGCAAAGCAAGGUUUUCCUCUGAAUCUGAAAUGGAUUGGGAAAUUUUGUUUUGAGCAGGAAAAAAAAAAAAAACUAUUGUUUUCCUUUCUUUUUUAUUCUUUUCUUUUUUUAAAAAAAAAAAUAAUGAUCUUUAGAAAAAAAUCUCUCCUACCUUAUUAACAUGCCAUUAAGCGGUGCUUGUUCUCCACAUUUUUAACUCCAGUAAAAAAUGUAUGUGUUCAAAAAUAAAAGUCUAGGGUUUUAAUCAGAAACUAUUCACCAAGGGCUUAAUAACAUAAACUUAAAAAGUUGCAGGGCUUGGAUAUGGGUUUAACCUUUCAUCUAUUGAUGUGUUUGUGUUCUUUAUAUUGAUGAUGAAGAACUAGGGACCUUCCUUUCUUGAUAUGCACAAAAGAAAUGUGAAAGGCCAAACUAUACUCUAAAGGAUCUCUAACCCCCCAAAAUCUGUGUCAAUAUUAGAAGUCCAACACUAAUUAGACUUAUCAUAUCAUUAUUAGAAUAACUAUUGAGUUUUAGGUGGGUCAUAACUCUUGAACAUAGUUGUGUAUGCCAAAAGCCAUACAAUCCUUAUCCAUCUUUCAUGUUGUAACAUGUUGUAAAUUUAAUACGCAAAAAUUAUUCCACGAUGUCACAAUAAAAUUGUUAAUUGAGAAAAUAUUUCAAUUAGCUUAUUUGUAAUUAUCUUUGAAUAGCAAAUGAAGAGGAAAAAUAGUCUCUUAAAGAAGAAAUCUUCGACCUACUUUUAAUUCCUUAGUUCCUACGGUAUGAGAUAGAAUAAAUUUUCAACCUCUUGUAUAUACUCAAUAUGAUGGGGGAAGUAGAUUUUGAAUUCCUUACUCCCUACAGUAUGAGAUGGGCAUCCAACCAUUGGGUUACUAGCUCAAUUUUUUUGUU